This 63-nucleotide transfer RNA is filed under the name Mustela putorius furo (domestic ferret). It matches the Rfam family "tRNA". Rfam says of the family: Transfer RNA (tRNA) molecules are approximately 80 nucleotides in length. Their secondary structure includes four short double-helical elements and three loops (D, anti-codon, and T loops). Further hydrogen bonds mediate the characteristic L-shaped molecular structure. tRNAs have two regions of fundamental functional importance: the anti-codon, which is responsible for specific mRNA codon recognition, and the 3' end, to which the tRNAs corresponding amino acid is attached (by aminoacyl-tRNA synthetases). tRNAs cope with the degeneracy of the genetic code in two manners: having more than one tRNA (with a specific anti-codon) for a particular amino acid; and 'wobble' base-pairing, i.e. permitting non-standard base-pairing at the 3rd anti-codon position. The record is from Rfam by way of RNAcentral. Lineage: Eukaryota; Metazoa; Chordata; Mammalia; Carnivora; Mustelidae.
GGUGGAUUGAAGGAGCACUGGACUGGGAGUCCAGAGGCUUGGGUUCAAGUCCCAGACCCACCA